GACAGAGGCCCCAAGCGUUAGGCGGAAUCACUGGGCUUAAAGCGUGUGUAGGCGGAUGCCUAAGUACCUUGUGAAAUCCCACGGCUCACCCGUGGAACUGCUGGGUAUACUGGGCAUCUUGGGCCAUUCAGGGGCAACUGGAACAAGCGGUGGAGCGGUGAAAUGCGUAGAUAUCGGGAGGAACACCAGAGGCGAAGGCGGCGAACUGGACAGUAACUGACACUCAACUGCGAAAGCGUGGGGAGCAAACAGG
RNAcentral lists this ribosomal RNA (253 nucleotides) under uncultured bacterium. Its description in RNAcentral is "partial 16S ribosomal RNA". It matches the Rfam family "Bacterial small subunit ribosomal RNA", at positions 524 to 776 of the family's 1533-position model. The record is from RNAcentral.